GACGAACGCUUGCGGCGUGCCUAAGAAAUGCAAGUCGAGCGGGGUAGCAAUACCUAGCGGCGAACGGUCGCGUAACACGUAGGCAACCUGCCCGAAAGACCGGGACAACAUUCCGAAAGGGGUGCUAAUACCGGAUGUGGCCAAUGGGAGACAUCUCCUAUUGAUUAAAUCACUUGUGGCUUUCGGAGGGGCCUGCGGCCUAUCAGCUAGAUGGCGGGGUAACGGCUCACCAUGGCGACGACGGGUAGCUGGUCUGAGAGGACGAUCAGC
This 270-nucleotide ribosomal RNA is filed under the name uncultured bacterium. Its description in RNAcentral is "partial 16S ribosomal RNA". It matches the Rfam family "Bacterial small subunit ribosomal RNA", at positions 28 to 308 of the family's 1533-position model. The record is from RNAcentral.